RNAcentral lists this ribosomal RNA (1459 nucleotides) under Leuconostoc mesenteroides subsp. mesenteroides. RNAcentral's name for it is "bacterial SSU rRNA". It matches the Rfam family "Bacterial small subunit ribosomal RNA". Lineage: Bacteria; Bacillati; Bacillota; Bacilli; Lactobacillales; Lactobacillaceae. The record is from RNAcentral.
GCUGGCGGCGUGCCUAAUACAUGCAAGUCGAACGCACAGCGAAAGGUGCUUGCACCUUUCAAGUGAGUGGCGAACGGGUGAGUAACACGUGGACAACCUGCCUCAAGGCUGGGGAUAACAUUUGGAAACAGAUGCUAAUACCGAAUGAAACUUAGUGUCGCAUGAUACGAAGUUAAAAGGCGCUUUGGCGUCACCUAGAGAUGGAUCCGCGGUGCAUUAGUUAGUUGGUGGGGUAAAGGCCUACCAAGACAAUGAUGCAUAGCCGAGUUGAGAGACUGAUCGGCCACAUUGGGACUGAGACACGGCCCAAACUCCUACGGGAGGCUGCAGUAGGGAAUCUUCCACAAUGGGCGAAAGCCUGAUGGAGCAACGCCGCGUGUGUGAUGAAGGCUUUCGGGUCGUAAAGCACUGUUGUAUGGGAAGAACAGCUAGAAUAGGGAAUGAUUUUAGUUUGACGGUACCAUACCAGAAAGGGACGGCUAAAUACGUGCCAGCAGCCGCGGUAAUACGUAUGUCCCGAGCGUUAUCCGGAUUUAUUGGGCGUAAAGCGAGCGCAGACGGUUGAUUAAGUCUGAUGUGAAAGCCCGGAGCUCAACUCCGGAAUGGCAUUGGAAACUGGUUAACUUGAGUGCAGUAGAGGUAAGUGGAACUCCAUGUGUAGCGGUGGAAUGCGUAGAUAUAUGGAAGAACACCAGUGGCGAAGGCGGCUUACUGGACUGUAACUGACGUUGAGGCUCGAAAGUGUGGGUAGCAAACAGGAUUAGAUACCCUGGUAGUCCACACCGUAAACGAUGAACACUAGGUGUUAGGAGGUUUCCGCCUCUUAGUGCCGAAGCUAACGCAUUAAGUGUUCCGCCUGGGGAGUACGACCGCAAGGUUGAAACUCAAAGGAAUUGACGGGGACCCGCACAAGCGGUGGAGCAUGUGGUUUAAUUCGAAGCAACGCGAAGAACCUUACCAGGUCUUGACAUCCUUUGAAGCUUUUAGAGAUAGAAGUGUUCUCUUCGGAGACAAAGUGACAGGUGGUGCAUGGUCGUCGUCAGCUCGUGUCGUGAGAUGUUGGGUUAAGUCCCGCAACGAGCGCAACCCUUAUUGUUAGUUGCCAGCAUUCAGAUGGGCACUCUAGCGAGACUGCCGGUGACAAACCGGAGGAAGGCGGGGACGACGUCAGAUCAUCAUGCCCCUUAUGACCUGGGCUACACACGUGCUACAAUGGCGUAUACAACGAGUUGCCAACCCGCGAGGGUGAGCUAAUCUCUUAAAGUACGUCUCAGUUCGGAUUGUAGUCUGCAACUCGACUACAUGAAGUCGGAAUCGCUAGUAAUCGCGGAUCAGCACGCCGCGGUGAAUACGUUCCCGGGUCUUGUACACACCGCCCGUCACACCAUGGGAGUUUGUAAUGCCCAAAGCCGGUGGCCUAACCUUUUUGGAAGGAGCCGUCUAAGGCAGGACAGAUGAC